UGAAUGAUGUUAGGGAUACUUGAGGUUUC
RNAcentral lists this small RNA (29 nucleotides) under Bombyx mori (domestic silkworm). Its description in RNAcentral is "ovarian small RNA-31159". The record is from RNAcentral. Lineage: Eukaryota; Metazoa; Arthropoda; Insecta; Lepidoptera; Bombycidae.